AAGGAGCUUCUCGCGCGGGCCUUCCAGCAUCGCCGCCUUUGGCGAUCUAUAGCCAGGACCCAGACAACUCGAGCAACCUGAAAUUUAUCGUGCAUGUUGCCACCUAUUGCGAGGACCGCGACACCGUAUGUGUAAGACCGAUCGAGAAGAUGGGACACGUAGUCUUCAGAGAACGAAAGCGGAGUCGACUACUUCGGGGAAGUGAUGGAGAAAGAGUCGUGGAUAACGGUGGCAAUUGCGACGCGAUACGAACGGCCUCAACUCGAUUGGAAGGGGACUCAUAUUUGCGAUAACCGUGUAUGUUUAGAUUCGGUAGCUACGGUCGAAUCGGUCGAAUGUAUCGUCACUUACGUUGAUUCGAUAAUUUCUAUUCGCAGUUUCGCUCGCUAUAUUCGAACGAUCAGGAUAUGUAUUCUAAGCAGUGAUGCGCAGUCGCGGAUUUCUGGUACAUAUUAAGUAAAGCAGCAUUUCAACGACGUACUCACGCUUCUUAAGUAUAAGGUUAGGCCCCAGAAGAGCACAUCUUGGAAAUUUUAGAAAGGGAAGAAAGUUUCGAAUGAAAUAAAAUGCUACAUAAAUAUUAAUAAAAUUUAUUAGACGAAUACAAACAUUUGCUGUGAGAAUAAGAGAACAAAAUAUAUGAGCAUACAUUCUUACGUAGUAUAAAUAUAUUUAUAUAUUUUGUUACAGUUUUUAAAAUAGUAGAUGAUUUGUAAAAGUACGCCACUUUCAUACGUAUAAUGUUGCACUCAAUGUACAGUCAUGGUGGCACAUGUCUAGCUGUGACGUCGUUCAUGACACGCACACAACUCUUAGUGAGGAAAAAUCCCGCAGCAGCGCAUCACUGAUUCCGAACGGACUUUUCGCGCAUUUCAACUACGCUAGUAAGCUCCGUCACUCAUGUUGCUCCCUGUCGUGACGCACGUUCAUUCAUUUAUCAUAUAUACGGUAAAUAAAAUAUACGAAUAAAGAUGUUACGCGAGCACGAACGUCGUGAUUCAUUUAUCAAGACGAAUGAAGAGUAAGAGGGUAGGAGGUUAAGAGGUAAACGAUUCGUUGUCACGAUACAGCGGUUGGAUUCCCCGAUUACUUUCAAUUUUCGCGUGCAUAACCUUGAAGAUAAAGCAUUACAAGACAAGUUUAUAUUUGUACAGUCCUCGAGACGCUGCACGGUGACUAGUUCAUUUCGAGAGGAGCACUAAACGUAAACUACAACGUGCGUGCCAUGUGUCCCGACACGCGUUAUUUUCAAGGUGUAAUAUGCUCAAUCUCGUUGUUUUUCCUCUUAUCAGAGCUCGACUUCCGGCUUUGCGCAAAUAUCGCGCACAUCAAUAGAUUAUCACGAUGUAAUCUGAUCAAUCGCGCCAAACGACUUUUCGCUAAAUUCGUCUGCGUCGUUAUACCUUCGUAUCCCGAGUCGAGUCUAUCCAGCUGCACGCUGACGUUGUCGAUCGCUUCGAGUAACAUCCCAUACUGUUUUUGUAGCUGAACUUGAUGCGUCUUCGAGACUAACAGGGUCGCUACGCCGAGGACGAUGAGUAUAACGACACAGAAUCCGAACAGAAUCCUUUGGGACAACGUUGUCAUCACCCGCAAUUAUUUUCCAUACAUUCAUACUUUCAGAAUUCUCUUCAAAUUAUCGACGAAUCGUUAUCUCUUGAAUCGAAGUUUUUCCUUUUCUUGUUUACUGACUGUAAUCGCGUGACUGUUAAUCGAUAAUCCUCCGCUUGCGAUUUACGGAACGCGGAGGAAACAAAAAUGUACGAAAAAGAACGAAACGGGCGAGUACUGUUGACUUCUUUGAAUCGCACUGCUUGACACGAUGAAUCCGCGGCGGAGACUUUUCCACCACGCUAAAUGCACGAUUCCCAAAUUUUCGAGUUAAACGAAAACCGUUCCGCUUUGUCGUUCUUUUUCUGGCACAACGCCCACGUUUUUUGUCUAUUAUUAAAAGGAUGCGUGGUAUGAUACA
Long non-coding RNA from Megachile rotundata (alfalfa leafcutting bee), 1972 nucleotides. NCBI's taxonomy places the organism in Eukaryota, Metazoa, Arthropoda, Insecta, Hymenoptera, Megachilidae. The record is from RefSeq and is a predicted model, not a curated record.